This is a long non-coding RNA of Felis catus (domestic cat), 1440 nucleotides long. RefSeq lists it as uncharacterized. The record is from RefSeq and is a predicted model, not a curated record. The transcript has 3 exons. NCBI's taxonomy places the organism in Eukaryota, Metazoa, Chordata, Mammalia, Carnivora, Felidae.
UCGGUGAGGCGGGGCCCAGGCGAGCUUGUCACGUGCCCAGCUCUCACUUCCGGGCUUGGGGUGACACUCCUUGGGCUGCGAGGCCGUGGCUCUGGGUUCCUGGGGAAGGAAACUGAAGUUCGCUGAGAGUGGUGCCUUAUGAUAGUAAGGCAAGUAGACAACCACGAGAACAAACCUUUUUUCCCUUCGUUGAUUCAACCAAAGUUAUUGUGUUCCUGAUCAACUAUGGCCCCUUCGAUCUCACUUUGAGUGACAAAGUCCAGUACCUAUCCCCUUAUCCGAUGGCCCCCAAAGAUGACUCCUUGCCCCAGGCCAUGGGACAACUGAUGCUACAUUUUGGAUGGACCUGGGUGGGACUUGCUGCUUCAGAUUAUAUGUGAGCUGAAUUGUUUCCCUGAUUGGAGAGGAGAAAUGGUCAAGAAAGGGAUCUGUGUUGCCUUUUCAGAGACUAUCUCUCUCAGUGAGAAAUACCACAAGGAAGCCUUUGAUAAUCCAUUGAUCAGAGUAGCAUAACCAACAGCUACAGUGGUUGUCAUUCAUAGAGAUACAGAUUCCCUGGUGACCAUGAGACCUCCACGGCCCAGGAUGCAAGAAUAGCAAAGGUGUGGAUCAUCUCCCCUUACUGGGAUGUUAUUCUGAGGCCCAUGUUUCAGAAUGGUUAUGGUUUUCAUGGGUCUGUGAUAUUUUCUCAUCAAAGAAGAGAUCAUCCUGAAUUUGGGACAUUCCUCAGGAGAGUCCAAUCUUCUACAUACCCAGGGAACAUUUUUCAUAAGAGUUUCUGGCACUCAGCUUUUGAGUGCUCAGAGGUUGGUGGUACCACUGGAACAAUACAAAUGAUCCCAGAAUGCUUUUUGGACAUGCUUCCCCUACAGUAUUUUGAAGUGACCAUGUCUGCACAUAGUUACAUUGUCUACAGUGCUGUGCAUGCUGUGGCCUGGGCUCUGCCUGGCAUGUUCCUGAUCAGAUCAGAAGCAGGAUCAAUAGAAGGCAGAGCCCCUGUGGUGUCUAAUCUCUGGAAGAUAAGAUUUCCUCUGAAAGCCAUCCAUUGGAGUCAGAGUUGUCCAGAAUGACAGGACCAACUGAACAUAUACAUAAAGAGAGAUUUAUUGCACAUAAAGAUAUUUAAUUAAAGGAUAUGAUUCCACAACCAGCCAUCUACAGGAUGGAGAUCUGGGAAAGCCAGUGGUGUAAUUCAGAGAACCAGAGGGCUGGUGAUGUAAGUCCCAGUCUGAGGAAAGGAGAAGACUAAUGUCCUAGAUCAAGCACUCAGGCAGAGUGAGUAGGUUCUCCCUUCCUCUACCUUUUUGUUCUAUUCAGGCCCUCAAUGAGUUAGAUGAUGCCCAUCCACACUGGGGAGGGCCAUCUGUUUUACUCAGUCCAUUGAUUGAAUUGUUAAUGUCUUUUGUAUCCUGCAAUUUUGCUGAAUUCAUUUAUUCUAAC